Molecule: ribosomal RNA, 896 nt
Filed under: uncultured archaeon
Lineage: Archaea
Description: SSU rRNA
Rfam family: Archaeal small subunit ribosomal RNA
Source: RNAcentral
GUGCCAGCAGCCGCGGUAAUACCAGCCCCGCGAGUGGUCGGGACUCUUGUGGGCCUAAAGCGCCCGUAGCCGGCCCGGUAAGUCCCUCCUUAAAGCCCCGGGCUCAACCCGGGGAGCGGGGGGAUACUGCCGGGCUAGGGGGCGGGAGAGGCCGGGGGUACCCCAGGGGUAGGGGCGAAAUCCGAUAAUCCCUGGGGGACCACCAGUGGCGAAGGCGCCCGGCUGGAACGCGCCCGACGGUGAGGGGCGAAAGCCGGGGGAGCGAACCGGAUUAGAUACCCGGGUAGUCCCGGCUGUAAACUAUGCGGGCCAGGUGUCGGGCGGGCGUUAGAGCCCGCCCGGUGCCGCAGGGAAGCCGUUAAGCCCGCCGCCUGGGGAGUACGGCCGCAAGGCUGAAACUUAAAGGAAUUGGCGGGGGGGCACACAAGGGGUGGAGCCUGCGGCUCAAUUGGAGUCAACGCCGGGAACCUCUACCGGGGGCGACAGCAGGAUGACGGCCAGGCUAACGACCUUGCCCGACGCGCUGAGGGGAGGUGCAUGGCCGUCGCCAGCUCGUGCUGUGAAGUGUCCUGUUAAGUCAGGCAACGAGCGAGACCCCCGCCCCUAGUUGCGACCCUGCGGGCGACCGCGGGGGCACACUAGGGGGACUGCCGCCGCUAAGGCGGAGGAAGGAGGGGGCCACGGCAGGUCAGCAUGCCCCUAAACCCCCGGGCUGCACGCGGGCUACAAUGGCGGGGACAGCGGGAUCCUGCCCCGAGAGGGGUGGGCAAUCCCUAAACCCUGCCUCAGUUGGGAUCGAGGGCUGCAACUCGCCCUCGUGAACGAGGAAUCCCUAGUAACCGCAGGUCACCAACCUGCGGUGAAUACGUCCCUGCUCCUUGCACACACCGCCCGUC